UCAUUAUGAUCGUUAACUGAAUUCUUAAAUUUAGAUAUAUGAUGCACAAACUUUUGUAAAUGCUUGUGGUGUUUAUGUCAUGCACAUAUUGAAUACCUUAUCUAUAUUGUGUUUAUGUGGUUAUUUGGAUUUUGGAGCACAUCACGUAAGUCUCCUCCAAGAUUUCAUAAUAAUUGUACCGAAAGCGUGAAGCUGGAAAGCUGGGAGGUGGCGGCUUCGCUGACCGGACGUGGACUUCGCUCUGCUCUGCAAAAUAAAUGACGUUAGUGUCGGGCUAGGGAAGGGGUCCCGGCGUUAGUCCUCCAACACUCAAGUCAGUCACCGAAAUGUGGAGAAAUAUGGAGCAACAGUAGAACUCAAGAAUAACGCGUACUGCUGCUAGUGAUAGACCCUCCUUUAUAUAGAGCCCCGAUGGGUGACGUGCACGCUUCUCAAGCAUGGGCACGUUCUCCAAUAUGUCCUAUGAAAGGACCUGUCAGGAAAGUACCUCUGACAUCAUAUCUUAACAGAGCAUGCAUAUCCCUGACAAGACAAUAGAAGCUUCUGCCAUACGAUCUUUCUGUCAACCAUGCCUCGUGUCAGCGACACUAUCUCCCAAAAGGAUGUCGAGAGAUACUACAAUGGUUCGGUUGCUGGGCCGAGCGGGGUAGUCGCUCAGCUGGGACUCCGCUCCAUCCGUGGCCAGGUCCCGCUGCUUGGUCGAGCGGGGUAGCCGUUCGGCCGGGAUCCCUCCGCUCUGACGAACUCAUGUGGCUCCUCCUUGCGGUGACUGUUUAGUAACAUGUCCUCCCCCGUUCAAACCAACUAUCCGGUUUCCCUCGACGUCCUGCUACACCGUAUUGAGCGUCGGUUGUCUUACGUGUCAUCCCGAGCUGGACGGGUGGUCUGCUCGGACCUGUCUCCCACCGAUCGGGGCUGACUGCCCGACCGACUAUUUCCAUUGUCUUUCAUUCGAUCCUCUGGCACCUGGGUGUUGACCACCUUGACUUUGACUUCUACCCUGGCAAUUAACCACGUGCCAUGUAGGCCUCCCCCCAUCGUCGCAUCACAAUCCUCCCCUUAAGUCUAGUCGAAUGAGGCUGCAAGUCCGAUUGACUGGACUAGUAGAGUCUUCGAUGACUCCCACACCUUUGUCGUUUGGCUUCGCAUUGUCAGACUGGGUAUAUAACUGGGCUCAACCCAAGCAUUUUGAAGCAAACCGUGUCUCGGCCAUUCGGCUGUGUGAUAAUCGCUUAUCUGUGCUGCUCGGGCAAUGGGUGACAACACUUGGUGAAAAAUUUUCUUUUCCUUUUCUUGGGCUCGCCCUGUCGUCAUCCAGAUUUCUCGAAGACAAUGCAAAUCUCUGAUCCUUAUAGCCGAGCACACGACCAUACAUUUUAAUUAGCCUCAUUAAUGUCGUCCGGUGGUUGAGCGCCACGUGUCCUUUCUGCCGUCGCACAUUUGAUAUGACAGGCGGAUAUCCGUUGGUGAUGUGAUAGGCACCUUUUCAAAUUCAACGGCCGGAUCUUCUCUUAGUUUUUCGCAACCUUGGAUCGGACGGCUCAGGUCGAUCGACCGCGAGGUUUAUAAACCUCGCGUGCGUUGCCGUCUUCUUCACUUCAUGUGCCUUCAUCUUCAAGCUUCCCAAUGACGUUUAGCUUCUUCUACCUCUCCGGCGAUCUCUCUUGUAAGCCUCUUCAUCUUUUCUGUCAAAUCUUUUCGUUGUUCUUCGUCAUCCUUGUUUUCGAUGGCCAGCUCCUCACAGCCCCCCACCUCCAUCCUUGGGCUCUGGUACACUUCCACCGAGUCCAGGUUCGACGGGGGUGACGCUGAGAGUUUGAAAUCUGCUUACGAAUUUCCAUUUGGCUAUCAAAUCGUUCUUCCUUUUGCUUUCGACCGGCCGUAUGAACCACCGCCGGGUUUUUUUUGUUUCUUUGGUGUGCGGAUCCCUGUCCACCCUUUUUUCUCUGCGGACUGUAAAUAUUUUCGUAUUUCUCUUAAUUAAUUAGUGUCAAACUCCUUUCGGCUGUUGUGCGGGGUCGUCGUUCUGUUUCGCCUGCACGACAUUCCUCUGACUCCUCGACUCUUCCAUUAUUUCUAUUAUCCAAAAUUGUCCAAGCCGAGGACUUUUCUUUUUCAGGCUCGAGUGGGCUUAGUCUUCUUUGAUAAGAUGUCAUCGUCCAAGGAGAGACUACUACUUUUUCGUUCGCUUUCCCGAACAGCCAGAUUUCUCGAUCAGCUGGUAGCUAGAAGUGUCGAACCCUCCGGAUCUCAAGAAGUACAAAAGUCAAUCGGACUAUCUCUAUGCAGCCUCUAGCUUAGCCGGUCAGAAGUACUAUAUUCAUAAGUUGCUGCUGGAGGGCGUCCUCUACGUGUUCGGCUUGAGUCCGAUCCGCAUGAAGCUUCUGUUAAGCUCUUUCUUCUCUAGUCUUUGAAUCUAGCUGAUUUUUCCUCCUUUUGCGCAGCUCGAAUCAUGUUGCGAGCACGUCUGGCCGGCAAGUGCAAGUCGCGGAUGCAGAGAUCAACGCUGCGGCUGUGGGCGAACUGGAGGGCCGUGGCUUGUAGUCGGUCGACUCCCAUGAGGAUUCGCUCGGUGAAAGCGAGGAAGCGCCAGUGCAAGGGAGCAAAGCAUGACCCAGCCAGACAACUGGUAGUGGAGCAGCUGGUACAGCCGACCUUCCACCAGAGCGACCCUCGGUGGUUGCGGUUGCGGAGGCCUCCGAAUCGACCUCUUCUGGGGAGCCUCUAAUAAGUCGGAAGAGACGCCGCGCGGAAGUUACCUCCCAAUCCGCCACCUCCGCUAUGCAGACCCCACUCGAGUCGUCUCACGCCCUUCAUCUGAACGGGGCAAAACUUCGACACCCGCUUCUCUUGAACAAGCAGCGGCCGCCCCCCAUAUGUCCGUUUCCUCCGACCAGACUCCGUCUUUGUCCAGGUUGCCCCAAGGAACCCUCUGUGUGCUGUCGGUCUCCUUUCUGCCGUCUACAUCUCUGCCAGUGGUCGGAAAAUCUCGCGUCUGACCGACAUCAACAACCCAGUCGGCCGGCAGAGCAACCUCCGCCUCGUCUGGUCCGAGCGGCCAACGCCAGAUAACGACAGUUACCCAUUUGCCGACAGACGAAUGGCACGACUCGGACGACGUUGCAUGACGGAGCCCCAAACACUAAAUAAUUAUUCAGGGGUCGCUCACAUGGAUAUGGGUCGACGCCUGGGCCCAUGCGACGGUCAUGCCUCCAGGGGCACUCGCCGACAGUCAUACCUAGAUGUCCAUUUGGUAUUGAGUAGAGAUUCUAGUCAUGUGCCAAAGGCUUGCAUUUUUGGAACACGAAAUCCAGCAGCUGCGUGCCCCGAGCGGCCAAGCAGCAGCUUCGCAGGAGCACUUGGAGCAGAUGAGCACCGAGAUGACCCAACUAAAGGCCGAUCUGAAUAAGAGCUUCGAGUUGUUGGAGGCGGAGAGGGGCAAGAGCGCCGAGCAGGCUACGCAAUUGGCUCGGCUUAAUAAACAGGCGAACACCUUCGAGCCCAAGAUCCACUCGACCAACACCAGGAAGCUUCGGGCCAUCUAAGACUUGGAAAUCAAAAACAAAGAGUUUCGGGUGUUGACUCAGAAACUGAAGGAGACGGAGGCCUCGCUGAAUGCUGAGCGAGAGGGCAGGUCAGUUGAUCGGUUUGUAGCGAAGGCCCAGCUCGACGCCAAAGAUGCAAAGCUGGCCACUUUGAAGGCGGAUUUAGAGGCAUCUCGGUUAGCGCUAGAAGUUUGCCAAAGUGUGGAGUCCAGU
Molecule: long non-coding RNA, 3758 nt
Organism: Zingiber officinale
Lineage: Eukaryota; Viridiplantae; Streptophyta; Magnoliopsida; Zingiberales; Zingiberaceae
Exons: 2
Source: RefSeq, a predicted model, not a curated record